This 402-nucleotide ribosomal RNA is filed under the name bacterium. RNAcentral's name for it is "partial 16S ribosomal RNA". It matches the Rfam family "Bacterial small subunit ribosomal RNA", at positions 355 to 776 of the family's 1533-position model. The record is from RNAcentral.
UGGGGAAUUUUGCACAAUGGGGGAAACCCUGAUGCAGCGACGCCGCGUGAUUUAGAAGGCUUUCGGGUUGUAAAAAUCUUUUCUAUGGGAAGAAAAUGACAGUACCAUAGGAAUAAGGACCGGCUAAUUACGUGCCAGCAGACGCGGUAAUACGUAAGGUCCGAGCGUUGUCCGGAAUCAUUGGGCGUAAAGGGUACGUAGGCGGGUAAGCAAGUUAGAAGUGAAAUCCUAUAGCUCAACUAUAGUGAGCUUUUAAAACUGCUCAUCUUGAGGGAUGGAAGGGAAAGUGGAAUUCCUAGUGUGGCGGUGAAAUGCGCAGAUAUUAGGAGGAAUACCGGUGGCGGAGGCGACUUUCUGGCCAUAACCUUACGCUGAGGUACGAAAGCGUGGGUAGCAAACAGG